UCCAAGCCACAUCCACUUGCAGCAAGGCUGGAUCCUCAACUCACGGAGCAGGGCCAGGGAUUGAACCUGCAACCCCAUAAAUAUUUGCUUUGUUCUUUUUUUUUUUUUUUUUGUCUUUUUGCUAUUUCUUGGGCCGCUCCCGCGGCAUAUGGAGGUUCCCAGGCUAGGGGUCGAAUCGGAGCUGUAGCCACCAGCCUACGCCAGAUCCACAGCAACGCGAGAUCCGAGCCGCGUCUGCAACCUACACCACAGCUCGCGGCAACGCCGGAUCGUUAACCCACUGAGCAAGGGCAGGGACCGAACCCGCAACCUCAUGGUUCCUAGUCGGAUUCGUUAACCACUGCGCCACGAUGGGAACUCCUAUUUGCUGUGUUCUUAACCUGCUGAGCCACGACAGGACCUCUGGAGUAAUAUAUAUAUUUAGCUGUUAUCGAUGCCAAUGACACCUGCUUAACAACAUGAAGCACUCUGGUUUCCCUUUGGAAAACUACUCUUCCCAAGCUGUACUCAGUUCCAGUGGAAUCGUCCUAUAAGACGGCUUCUCCUCUCCAGGUCCAGAUCAAACAGCUUAUUCACCGUUAAGCAUCUUACAGUGACAACAGUGAUGGUAACUAAACCUCUAUUAGGAAGAUGCCAAUUUCUUCACUGGGAUUACAUCAUUUAUUUGUCAUAAUGCACUAUGAGGUAUUUAUAUAUGACUGUAGUAAGCUAAUCGAUGGGAAAUUCAGGAAGAUUUUUAAAAAUGUAUAAUUUACUUUAAAAUACUAAAUUCAAUAUGCUCA
Molecule: long non-coding RNA, 782 nt
Filed under: Sus scrofa (pig)
Lineage: Eukaryota; Metazoa; Chordata; Mammalia; Artiodactyla; Suidae
Description: lncRNA (ENSSSCG00015062260.1)
Source: RNAcentral